This 305-nucleotide ribosomal RNA is filed under the name uncultured bacterium. RNAcentral describes it as "bacterial SSU rRNA". It matches the Rfam family "Bacterial small subunit ribosomal RNA", at positions 335 to 638 of the family's 1533-position model. The record is from RNAcentral.
GGCCUACGGGGGGCAGCAGUGAGGAAUAUUGGUCAAUGGGCGCAAGCCUGAACCAGCCAAGUCGCGUGAGGGAUGGCGGUCCUAUGGAUUGUAAACCUCUUUUGUCGGGGAGCAAGGCCCGCCACGUGUGGCGGGAAGGAGAGUACCCGAAGAAAAAGCAUCGGCUAACUCCGUGCCAGCAGCCGCGGUAAUACGGAGGAUGCGAGCGUUAUCCGGAUUUAUUGGGUUUAAAGGGUGCGUAGGCGGACGCUUAAGUCAGCGGUAAAAUUGCGGGGCUCAACCUCGUCGAGCCGUUGAAACUAGGG